Molecule: long non-coding RNA, 658 nt
Filed under: Musa acuminata (dwarf banana)
Lineage: Eukaryota; Viridiplantae; Streptophyta; Magnoliopsida; Zingiberales; Musaceae
Description: long non-coding RNA (MACU_LNC008859)
Source: RNAcentral
GGUGUUUGACUUCUAGUUUCAUCCCUAGUUAAGAGAGAAAGGGGGCUUUGCGGUAAGUUCAUUGCCAGUUCCUGUGAGAGUGAGAGUUUCAUCCCCUGUUACAAUUCUCAAGUAGGGUUUUGGUGCUGCCACUGUUACAGUGAAGAAAGUAUGUGAGAAGAGGUCGGCUUGGUAAGCUAUUCAAGUUACGUUUCGAGUAGCUAGUUGUCUGCUUGCCCCUUCGUCUGAGUUGCUAGUGGAAUGAUUUGUCUCAUCUGUAUUUGUAGUAUUAGUAGCUGGGCUUGGCUUGGCCCGGAGCAUAAGUUGAAGUCGAGGAAGAAGUUGGUCCAUAACUGUGCCUUUGUAGUGGGAGUUUGCUUGUUCCCUUGCUUCCUUACCUGUUAUAGCUGAAUCUUCACUGCUUACAUCUAUAAGAAGGCUCGCACUGCUGAUAUCUAAGGUAUAUGUUAUUACCUAUACUUAAAGGAAAGACAAAGGUCGAAAAAUACUUAAAGGAAAGACAGAGGUGGAGUAGCCGAAUUAAGGCAUAAAAUCAAGGGGUAAUAGGGGGAAACACUAAGAAUUGAGUUGAAGCCGCUGGUAGAUCAGCAGAAUCAUAAGUGGAAAGAGCAGAGGCGGAGUAUCCCCAGUAAGCCUUAGCGCUCGUACGAAUCCCGGU